UAAGGAAUAUUGGUCAAUGGACGCAAGUCUGAACCAGCCAUGCCGCGUGAAGGAUGAAGGUCCUCUGGAUUGUAAACUUCUUUUAUAGGGGGCGAAAAAAGGUCUUUCUAGAUCACUUGACAGUACCCUAUGAAUAAGCACCGGCUAACUCCGUGCCAGCAGCCGCGGUAAUACGGAGGGUGCAAGCGUUAUCCGGAUUCACUGGGUUUAAAGGGUGCGUAGGCGGGUAGGUAAGUCAGAGGUGAAAUCCUGGAGCUUAACUCCAGAACUGCCUUUGAUACUAUCUAUCUUGAAUAUGGUGGAGGUAAGCGGAAUAUGUCAUGUAGCGGUGAAAUGCAUAGAUAUGACAUAGAACACCUAUUGCGAAGGCAGCUUACUACGCCUAUAUUGACGCUGAGGCACGAAAGCGUGGGGAUCAAACAGG
RNAcentral lists this ribosomal RNA (424 nucleotides) under Bacillota bacterium. RNAcentral's name for it is "Firmicutes bacterium partial 16S ribosomal RNA". It matches the Rfam family "Bacterial small subunit ribosomal RNA", at positions 355 to 776 of the family's 1533-position model. Lineage: Bacteria; Bacillati; Bacillota. The record is from RNAcentral. RNAcentral also lists the same sequence under 3 other names.